Molecule: non-coding RNA, 98 nt
Filed under: human gut metagenome
Description: pemK RNA
Rfam family: pemK RNA
Source: RNAcentral
ACAAUGAUACUUUUGCCCGGCCACAUUCCGAGCGUUAAAAGCGUCGCAGGCAAUGGGGGGUAGCUCGGCUAGAAAAGCGGAGAGGUGAAAUUCCUAUG